This 2337-nucleotide small RNA is filed under the name Pongo abelii (Sumatran orangutan). Its description in RNAcentral is "retained intron". The record is from RNAcentral. Lineage: Eukaryota; Metazoa; Chordata; Mammalia; Primates; Hominidae.
CAUCCAGGGCCCUUGGCUGUGAUGUGACGUGUGCAGGAGGUUGUCAAGUGGCCUCAGAGCCCAGAGUCUGUGGCUCCGGGAUGGCAGCUCUCCCCCUCUUCUUCCUGCCCACCCCCAGGGCUUGUCUGCUCUCCUUAUCUGCCCUGCUGAUUCUCUGACCAUAUAUGUCAGUUUUGGGGCUCCAGGAAUGCAGCUGGACAUGGAGCAGCCUCUUCCCUGGGGUUAGACUGAAUAGGUUGAACUAAAAACUGCCCUCCCUCAUGCAGGGAGCUUGUGGUAGGAGGAGGAGUUACUGCCCAUUAGGGCUGAGGGCAGAGAUGCCUACCCCCAGGCUGCAUGCGGCUGCAGCCUUCUGGCCAGAUUCCAGACCUGCAGAAACCCAGCUUGGUGGUCGACUCUGCCUUGUGCCUGCUGGAGCUGCUGUUCUGCUGGUCACCUCAUCUCAGCACCCCAGACAUCACGAGCAUCCCCCUUUCCCAUCUGCACCCUCCAGUCCUUAGGGCCGUCAACCUUUCCACCUUGAAACUGGUGUCAGGAGCGCCCUGCAGAGUUUCUCUUAAGGUUCUGCAGGGCAAGGCUGUCGGGGACAGGCUUGGCCAUGGAUCCGCUCUCAGAGCUGCAGGAUGAUCUGACCUUGGAUGACACCAGUGAGGCUCUGAACCAGCUGAAGCUGGCCUCCAUCGAUGAGAAGAACUGGCCCUCGGAUGAAAUGCCUGACUUCCCCAAGUCAGAUGACUCCAAAAGCAGCUCCCCGGAACCUGUCACACACCUGAAGUGGGAUGACCCAUACUAUGACAUCGCCCGGCACCAGAUCGUGGAGGUGGCAGGAGAUGACAAGUAUGGGCGGAAGAUCAUUGUGUUUAGUGCCUGUCGAAUGCCCCCCAGCCACCAGCUCGACCACAGCAAGCUCCUGGGGUGAGUACCUGCCGGGAAGUGCGUUGGGGCUUUGCCCAGAUCCCCAUUGUAGCCUAAUGCCACGUUCUUUACUGUCCCUCCCUGCCUGUGGGUGCUAGGCCACCUGCCUUAAUGCCUCCCCUCUUCUCAUGAAGGAGCUGGUUAUAUUUAGGGGAGAGCACUGGAUGAGGAGUCAGACCUAGUUUCUAGUUAUUGAAGCUGGGUGACCUUGGUAAGCGUCUUUAAGCCUCGCUUUCCUCACCUUUCAAAAGGGAUCAUAAUAUAGGCCUCUUUCCUUGUAGGAGUGAGAAACAGCACAUGAAAAGGAAGGACUUUUGUCCAGAUGUGAGGAUUGACUGUUACAAUCCUAUGGUGUUUCUGAGAUGGUUGCAGUUGUUUAUUGUUUAUAGGACUCAUUAGUGUUGUCUUAUUUUGUGCCUUUGGUGUCAGUGGUUUCUGUACCGAUGUGGGUUCUGGGAGCCAAACAUAUGUAAUAGCUCUGGCUGGUCCAGACACGUCCUGAUUCAUGUCUGAAGGCUGGUUGAAUGCUGAGGCUUGAAAGACCCAUUUAUGGUUGAGCCAGCUCUGGGCCCAUAGGCGAGCAAACUCACUUCCUGCCACUGUCCUCGGGGUGUGUAGUAGAGUGAGACCAUCUUGCCCUUCUUUCUGUUUUCUUGGCAAAUUUUAGAAAGAUGCACUUCUUUCCUGACCAGUUUGAAGCACUCUCUGAAAUGUAAAAUCCUGGCACUGUCCCAAGCAGCUCUUUGAGAUCCUGAAUGGUUGCAUGCGAGCAGGAGGAGGUGUGGGCUUAGGGACAGACUCAGAGGGCAGCUGCAGAAGGAGAAGGGCCUGAAUUUGGAGUCUCAGCCAGUCCUGGCAAGCCAGGGCCACAGACUGAGUCUUCCAGCGCCAUCUAGGAGUUCUAUCUCUCUGGCCUUCUGAACCCUCUUCCCACUGCUCUUUACACAAGGCAGGCAGAGCCUUGUCCAAGCCCGCUGCGCGGCCCCGCCAAAAUGGGCAAGAGCUUGGCCUGGGGCUGGUGGAGGCACAUGGCCUUUUCUCUAGUUCUUUCUGUGUCUGAUGUACCAGGUGACAGCCUCCUGCCCAUAUAAUAAGUGAAGUGGGAGGAAGUCGGUGGAUGGGGGUGGAAAGCACCUGGUUUUCAGGAGACAGCUUGCUGGGGAAGGCCACACCCACCGCGGGGCGUCCUUGGCUUCAGGAAGUCCUCGACAUCAGCUGCUGCUUGUCCUCCAUCACUUCCGUCCUGGUCACAGUCCCUGCUGAGGGCAGCGGGGUGCUUCCAUCAUGGAGCACUUUGUCCCAUUUUCAGUCAGAUUAUCUCAGAUGUGGCUCUUGCCAGCUUCCCACCCAGAUCCGGGAGGUUGAAAUACAAAGUGCCUGAGCGCCACUGCACUCCAGCCUGGGCGACAGAGCGAGACUCUC